CCUGGCGGCGUGCUAUACAUGCAAGUCGAACGAAACUUUCUUACACCGAAUGCUUGCAUUCACCGUAAGAAGUUGAGUGGCGGACGGGUGAGUAACACGUGGGUAACCUGCCUAAAAGAAGGGGAUAACACUUGGAAACAGGUGCUAAUACCGUAUAUCUCUAAGGAUCGCAUGAUCCUUAGAUGAAAGAUGGUUCUGCUAUCGCUUUUAGAUGGACCCGCGGCGUAUUAACUAGUUGGUGGGGUAACGGCCUACCAAGGUGAUGAUACGUAGCCGAACUGAGAGGUUGAUCGGCCACAUUGGGACUGAGACACGGCCCAAACUCCUACGGGAGGCAGCAGUAGGGAAUCUUCCACAAUGGACGCAAGUCUGAUGGAGCAACGCCGCGUGAGUGAAGAAGGUCUUCGGAUCGUAAAACUCUGUUGUUAGAGAAGAACACGAGUGAGAGUAACUGUUCAUUCGAUGACGGUAUCUAACCAGCAAGUCACGGCUAACUACGUGCCAGCAGCCGCGGUAAUACGUAGGUGGCAAGCGUUGUCCGGAUUUAUUGGGCGUAAAGGGAACGCAGGCGGUCUUUUAAGUCUGAUGUGAAAGCCUUCGGCUUAACCGGAGUAGUGCAUUGGAAACUGGAAGACUUGAGUGCAGAAGAGGAGAGUGGAACUCCAUGUGUAGCGGUGAAAUGCGUAGAUAUAUGGAAGAACACCAGUGGCGAAAGCGGCUCUCUGGUCUGUAACUGACGCUGAGGUUCGAAAGCGUGGGUAGCAACAGAUA
Molecule: ribosomal RNA, 771 nt
Filed under: Ligilactobacillus salivarius
Lineage: Bacteria; Bacillati; Bacillota; Bacilli; Lactobacillales; Lactobacillaceae
Description: bacterial SSU rRNA
Rfam family: Bacterial small subunit ribosomal RNA
Source: RNAcentral